AGCAUAGGAGUUUUUAGGGCAUGGAGAGGCACAAACAUCCAGACAAGCAUUUACCUUCUGCUGAAAUUGUCUCAGUGUUUGCCUCUCCUAAUGGAAUAUGGGCCACAUGUACAGCAAGGGCUCAGCAAAUGCUUGCUGAACAAACAAGUUUGAGGCAGGUUUCUAACUCAGGUAGAUCGUUUCAUCCUCUUCAUCUCCCAGCAACCAAGAAAACCAGCCUAUUGCCAUGGGGGGGUCCUCCAACCCUGGCUAUUCUCCAAUGCUAAAGACUGACAGAUAAUCUCAAUUAGCAAAUUGACCCUUGUGGAUUUUCUGCACUCAUAGCAAAUGUCUUCAGGAAAACUGAAUUUCUCUCCAUACCUGGAUUAAUUUUCAGUAAUGGAAUGACUGGGUCAAAGGAGAUCAACAUUGCUGUGGCUCUUUCAGGUUCUCUUAAAUUCCAUGGAUUUUAACUUUGGCCCAUGACCUCCUUGACCUCUGGAAAUGUGACAUCCUGCACCUGCUGCAUCAGGGCUCUUCCCUGGUCUUGCCUACACUUGUGUCUACACAGGAUCACUUUGAUGCUUGUGUUGGAAAUAGAAAGACCAAGAGCAGAAACAUAUGGAGGCAGAACUAGUCUAUGGAAUAUUCUGCUAAUCAUCAGAUAUAUAAAAUUGAUUGAAGAUCAAAGUUUGAAGUUGACUUCUAGGCCCCAUCCUGGUACAUUCUGGAUGAAUUUUGGGGUUGGAAGAUGGAGGACCUAUACAUUUUGAGGGAAAUAAGAAGGAUAAUAGGAGUCAGUGAAGAAGUGGUCAGCACCAAAGGAGGAGAGCGUUUAAAGGAAAAGAGCUUGAUAAACCAGAGGGAUAGUCUGAGAGAGAAACUGAAGGUCAAAAUCAACGCAGUGGUGCCGAACAGAAGGGCCCGAGGUGCGAUGAGUAUAAUAUGAACACGAAGGAAAACAGCGAGUUCAGAAGCCUGGAGAAUCAGAAGCAGGUCAAGCGCUGGGGUUCAGGGCAAAGACCCUGAACACUGUGAAGGUGUUGGAGACCUGUUUUGAGGUGGCACUGCGGCUCAAUGUGAGUGCAGACCUGAGAGAUUAAAGUGCCUACGAAGGGCCAAAUACCUGUCCCUUCAUGACAU
This is a long non-coding RNA of Homo sapiens (human), 1122 nucleotides long. Ensembl annotates it as long intergenic non-protein coding RNA 2548. The record is from Ensembl. NCBI's taxonomy places the organism in Eukaryota, Metazoa, Chordata, Mammalia, Primates, Hominidae.